Molecule: long non-coding RNA, 509 nt
Organism: Triticum aestivum (bread wheat)
Lineage: Eukaryota; Viridiplantae; Streptophyta; Magnoliopsida; Poales; Poaceae
Exons: 2
Source: RefSeq, a predicted model, not a curated record
GAACUGUCCAGAGACACAAGGCUAAUGAGAAGCUCUACAUCGAUAAUGGAGUGAUCUUCUUCUUCAUCCUCGCUCUCGCGCGCCAUGGCCCUCCUAGCUAUUAUCGUGUGGUGCUUCCUCCUACCAUGCACUACCGCCGCGGCCAAAGGUGCAAGCUUUAAUUUUCCGAGAGGGUUACGAGAAGGAGGAAUAGGUUGAACUCACCGCAGCCGGGGCACAUGAAACAACUGGACUGCCCGGGCUGUGGCCAAGCGUACGCUCUGCCAUCGCCAUCGGGCAUGGCCCUUGCGGCGCCACACCGUAAGAACCUGCACCCGGGCCGACACUGAAGAUUCUGCACAGCAACAAAAAAGAAACGGCUUGGAGCGGAGGGGCUGCCUGAUUCAACGAACUUUGUGGCUGUGCAUAUUAGGACUCAUCACGAACUAGAAUUUUUUUCAAUUUUAGUUAUAUUUCUCCUCAACGUUGUUAUAUUUCGCCAAAACCAAUAAUUUUGUGAUUUGUCGCUU